UCUCCGCGUAACAGCAUUCAACGUCUGAAAGUCGACUGAUUUUGGAAUAGUUUGGUGUAGUUCUUGUUCUUAUGAUCCUGUUAAAAUCAAAAGCGGAAAUUUUCGACUGCGAGUACUUUGGCACAGUAGAGAUAUAGCAUAUUUGAAGGCUGUACGAUUCCAACACAUACGUUUCGACUAGUAAUUCCUGUCCACCUGACCGGAAAGUAUAGCUUCAGUCAGUUGCCGAGCGGAUUCAGGAAGCCGAUGAAAAUCGUUUUUGAUCAAGUGGCUACGAACAAGUGUUAGCUUAUGGCGAGUUCAGUGAUUGUCUGAAGGACGGAUCAAUCCCUAUAUUGAUCGUAAAUAUAGCGAUGAAAGGCUAAAAAAGAUAUUCAGAGGUAAUGUUAUGACAAGAGGCAGUCAUCCAAGCCAACUUGGCCAAGCUUAUUGACCAGAAUCGCUGAAUCUGCAGUGGAAAUUGCUUCGUCGCUAAGCCAGCAUCAAUGCACCCUGAAUGAUCAUUAUCAGGUGGGGAAUGACCCGGAAAGCUUCUCCUUCAGGCCCUCGUUGCACUCGCCAUUGGUCAACAUUUGUUUGCAGCCACAUGAUCUUAAAUGACUUUCUACCGGCUCCCUGGAUCCGUUCGGCAGCUCCCUGAAGUUAUGUUCUCCAGUCAUGUGGUCAGGAAUAACUAGUUAAUAUCGUAUAUGUCGGAAUCGUUCAGCGUUCAAACAUGCCAUAUAUCCACUGUAUCGAAGUAAUCGCAGUCGGGGAACAUCCGCAUUUAAUUUUUGCAGGAUCCAUGGAACAAGAAUUGUACCCAAAGAUAUCUAAAGCAGCUGCAUUUUAGAUCUGGUAACCUGCUACACGGGGAGCCAAACUCGACUGACUCGGAACUAAAAAAAAAAAAACCUUCAAAAUAAUCUAAAAUUAAUGCUUGAGAACUAACUAAAUAAAUUGAAAUAUUAAUUAAAUUUCUAUAGAGCUUAAAUCAUAAUCAUCUCUGUUAUUAUUGCAAUCUGAUUUUAAAUAUAUUAAUAAAUCUGGUAGCAACAAAAACAAAA
Molecule: long non-coding RNA, 1046 nt
Organism: Drosophila elegans
Lineage: Eukaryota; Metazoa; Arthropoda; Insecta; Diptera; Drosophilidae
Exons: 3
Source: RefSeq, a predicted model, not a curated record